This 497-nucleotide ribosomal RNA is filed under the name uncultured bacterium. RNAcentral describes it as "partial 16S ribosomal RNA". It matches the Rfam family "Bacterial small subunit ribosomal RNA", at positions 28 to 507 of the family's 1533-position model. The record is from RNAcentral.
GAUGAACGCUGGCGGCGUGCCUAAUACAUGCAAGUCGAGCGAACAGACGAGGAGCUUGCUCGUCUGAGGUUAGCGGCGGACGGGUGAGUAACACGUGGAUAACCUACCUAUAAGACUGGGAUAACUUCGGGAAACCGGAGCUAAUACCGGAUAAUAUAUUGAACCGCAUGGUUCAAGAGUGAAAGACGGUCUUGCUGUCACUUAUAGAUGGAUCCGCGCCGCAUUAGCUAGUUGGUAAGGUAACGGCUUACCAAGGCAACGAUGCGUAGCCGACCUGAGAGGGUGAUCGGCCAGACUGGAACUGAGACACGGCCCAGACUCCUACGGGAGGCAGCAGUAGGGAAUCUUCCGCAAGGGGCGAAAGCCUGACGGAGCAACGCCGCGUGAGUGAUGAAGGUCCCCGGAUCGUAAAACUCUGUUAUUAGGGAAGAACAAAUGUGUAAGUAACUGUGCACAUCUUGACGGUACCUAAUCAGAAAGCCACGGCUAACUACGUG